This is an unclassified non-coding RNA of Ochotona princeps (American pika), 246 nucleotides long. Its record names the gene 7SK. It matches the Rfam family "7SK RNA". Rfam says of the family: 7SK was discovered as an abundant small nuclear RNA in the mid-70s but a possible function has only recently been suggested. Two independent studies have found that 7SK RNA binds the CDK9/cyclin T complex (known as elongation factor P-TEFb). P-TEFb activates transcription by phosphorylating the C-terminal domain of RNA polymerase II. The record is from Ensembl. Lineage: Eukaryota; Metazoa; Chordata; Mammalia; Lagomorpha; Ochotonidae.
GGAUGUGAGGGUGAUCUGGCUGCAACAUCUAUCACCCCACUGAUCGCCAGGGUUAAUUCUGCUGAUCUGGCUGGCUAGGCGGGAGUGCCCUUCCUCCCUCACCGCUCCAUGUGCGUCCCUCCCGAAGCUGCGCACUUGGUCGAAGAGGAUGACCAUCCCCGCUAGAGGAGCCCGGUCUUCAGUCAAGGGCAUAUGAGUAGCUGCACUCCCUUGCUAGACCUCCAAACAAGCUCUCAGANNNNNNNN